AAUAGAUACCCCCGGUAGUCCACGCCGUAAACGAUGGAUACUAGCUGUUUGAGCGCAAGUUUGAGUGGCUAAGCGAAAGUGAUAAGUAUCCCACCUGGGGAGUACGGGCGCAAGCCUGAAACUCAAAGGAAUUGACGGGGGCCCGCACAAGCGGUGGAGCAUGUGGUUUAAUUCGAUGAUACGCGAGGAGCCUUACCAGGGCUUAAAUGUAGAUUGACGUAUUUGGAAACAGAUAUUUCUUCGGACAAUUUACAAGGUGCUGCAUGGUUGUCGUCAGCUCGUGCCGUGAGGUGUCAGGUUAAGUCCUAUAACGAGCGCAACCCCUGUUGUUAGUUGCCAGCGAGUAAUGUCGGGAACUCUAGCAAGACUGCCAGUGUAAACUGUGAGGAAGGUGGGGAUGACGUCAAAUCAUCACGGGCCCUUACGUCCUGGGCCACACACGUGCUACAAUGGCCGGUACAGAGAGCAGCCACUUAGCGAUAAGGAGCGAAUCUAUAAAAGCCGGUCACAGUUCGGAUCGGAGU
RNAcentral lists this ribosomal RNA (524 nucleotides) under uncultured bacterium. RNAcentral's name for it is "bacterial SSU rRNA". It matches the Rfam family "Bacterial small subunit ribosomal RNA", at positions 777 to 1304 of the family's 1533-position model. The record is from RNAcentral.